Non-coding RNA from Equus caballus (horse), 810 nucleotides. The record is from the annotation of a RefSeq genome assembly. NCBI's taxonomy places the organism in Eukaryota, Metazoa, Chordata, Mammalia, Perissodactyla, Equidae.
UUAUUGCCAGGCUCCCUUCAGCUGUGGAAGAAGUGGGAGGUCCUUGUAGACUUUAGCGAGAUCCACAGUUGAAGAAAUUGGGCAAGGCAGCCUUGAUGUCAGGGGCAGGUGCACAGAAGAGCAACUGUCUCAGAGGAAAGUGGGAAAGCAAGGGGGUGGGGUGCACCCUAAACUCAGUGUAGGGAAGCCACACCCCAUCUCCCCUGCAGGCCUUACUAAGCAACACCUAUGAAUAGAGUAGCUGAGCCAAGGCAGAAGGGACUCUGUUCCAGGGAGAGUCUGCAUGGGUAAGGGGUAGUGACAUCCCAGGCAGACUCUUCUGUCCUUUGGAGAAGAAGCUCCAAGCUACCUCAUUCAGUGCUGUGGAUCACAGCUUACAGCUGGGUUGGCUCCCUUUUACCUGACCCUGUCAUGAGCCUCAACUUCUUUUGUGUGACUCUUUGUCUCCUGGGAGCAGUAAGCCCCAUGGAUGCUGGAAUCACCCAGAAGCCAAGAUACCAUAUUACACAAACAGGAGGCAAGACGAUCCUGGAAUGUUCUCAGAAUAUGAGCCAUUUUGCAAUGUUCUGGUAUCGACAAGACCCGGGCCAGGGGCCAAGGCUGAUCCAUUAUUCAAGUGGUGUUAACAGCACUGCCAAAGGGGACAUCACAGAAGGGUACAGUGUCUCCCGAAAGAAGAUUGAGGAUUUCCCCCUGACCCUGGAGUCAGCCAGCACCAAGCAGACCUCCUUGUACCUCUGUGCCAGCAGUAAAUACACACUGCUACACAGCCAGCUGCUCUCUGCACAAAAAGGGCAGCCACCAGCAUGA